AUUUUUAUAUGGCGGGAAAUAUCGUAACAGUAAACCCAGGUGACCUUACUGAACGACCGUGGGAAAAUCAUUCCUGAUUAAAUUUGAUGUGGAAUGAUUGACAGUAUUGUGCGGUUUCUGGGGCUCUUGAUCGAGCUCCAUUAACAAUUGAUUUACCAGAUUAGAAAUUUAAUCCAUUUACAUUCAUGUAGCUGUAGUCUUCUUUAACUAUUUUAUGUUUAUAUUUAUCAGACAUUUCCCAGAUUCCCAUUGAAAUAAUAUAUUUGGA
Molecule: long non-coding RNA, 268 nt
Filed under: Mytilus galloprovincialis (Mediterranean mussel)
Lineage: Eukaryota; Metazoa; Mollusca; Bivalvia; Mytilida; Mytilidae
Source: RNAcentral